Molecule: transfer RNA, 64 nt
Filed under: Loxodonta africana (African savanna elephant)
Lineage: Eukaryota; Metazoa; Chordata; Mammalia; Proboscidea; Elephantidae
Rfam family: tRNA
About the family: Transfer RNA (tRNA) molecules are approximately 80 nucleotides in length. Their secondary structure includes four short double-helical elements and three loops (D, anti-codon, and T loops). Further hydrogen bonds mediate the characteristic L-shaped molecular structure. tRNAs have two regions of fundamental functional importance: the anti-codon, which is responsible for specific mRNA codon recognition, and the 3' end, to which the tRNAs corresponding amino acid is attached (by aminoacyl-tRNA synthetases). tRNAs cope with the degeneracy of the genetic code in two manners: having more than one tRNA (with a specific anti-codon) for a particular amino acid; and 'wobble' base-pairing, i.e. permitting non-standard base-pairing at the 3rd anti-codon position.
Source: Rfam by way of RNAcentral
GCCACAGUGGUCAAAUGCUUGGCUGCCAACUAAAAGGUUGGUGGUUCAAAUCCACCCAUUGGCA